AGCCUCCAUGACCCCUCCUCGCUCACCUUUCUCUCUUGCCUGAGCCAAGAGCUACACUUUCUAUAUCCACCACUUCACCGUGCAAACCCCAUGCACACGCCUUGACAGAAGCUGAGCUAGCUUCUCCUGCGUCGCUGCAAGCUGCUACUUUGGUUCGUGACUGAAAGCCAAAUGGAAGAUACGGAUCAGGAGCUAUGCACCGUUGCGGUGGAGAUGAUGAGUUCAGGAAAACUCAAGCCAUGUAGACACUUGUUGUUCUAUCAAGACUCCCUUCACCGAGAAGCAUCCAUAAAAAUGGUUCAUGUUUAGCAAUAGCACGGUGUUAUCCUAACUGAGCUUUUCUUCUAGCCACCGUCCACAUCCUUCUUCAAAACCUCAACAUCACUUUGUGUGGGAAUUAAAAGGAAUUGGUCUUCUUGACCUUGCAAGACCUUUUCUUGACCUUGUAAGACCCAACAUCGUUGUGUUGUUUUUCUUGUUUCUUAUUUUUCAAUUUCAUCCACCUCUUCUUUCUACCUCCCAUCUUUCUCCUAGUUCUUGCCUUCUCUCUCGGUCUAUCCCUCCUGAGCUGUAUUGAUCACUUUCUAUGUUAUUUUCUCGAUGUUUAAAAGAAAAUUAAUUUUGUUUAGCAAUAUACGAAGAGAUUGUGAAAUUCUAGUAUACCUGUAAAUUGUAAUAUUAUUGCUUGCGUGAUAUAAUUUGUAAUAUUAUUAUUGCUUGCGUGAUAUAAUGUAUUUCUGCAGUCAGAGUGCA
This 753-nucleotide non-coding RNA is filed under the name Oryza sativa Japonica Group (Japanese rice). Lineage: Eukaryota; Viridiplantae; Streptophyta; Magnoliopsida; Poales; Poaceae. The record is from RNAcentral.